This 460-nucleotide ribosomal RNA is filed under the name uncultured bacterium. RNAcentral describes it as "partial 16S ribosomal RNA". It matches the Rfam family "Bacterial small subunit ribosomal RNA", at positions 338 to 795 of the family's 1533-position model. The record is from RNAcentral.
CCUACGGGAGGCAGCAGUGAGGAAUAUUGGUCAAUGGGCGCGAGCCUGAACCAGCCAAGUCGCGUGAAGGAUGACUGCCCUACGGGUUGUAAACUUCUUUUAUCAAGGAAUAAGGUGCGGCACGGGUGCCUUUUUGUAUGUACUUUAUGAAUAAGGAUCGGCUAACUCCGUGCCAGCAGCCGCGGUAAUACGGAGGAUCCGAGCGUUAUCCGGAUUUAUUGGGUUUAAAGGGAGCGUAGAUGGGUGGUUAAGUCAGUUGUGAAAGUUUGCGGCUCAACCCUCCAAGUGCAAUUGAAACUGGCAGGCGUGAGUACAGGUGAGGUAGGCGGAAUUCGUGGUGUAGCGGUGAAAUGCAUAGAUAUCACGAAGAACUCCGAUCGCGAAGGCAGCCUACUAAACUGCCACUGACAUUGAUGCACGAAAGUGUGGGUAUCAAACAGGAUUAGAUACCCGAGUAGUC